GGGUUGUGAGGUUAAGCGACUAAGCGUACACGGUGGAUGCCCUGGCAGUCAGAGGCGAUGAAGGACGUGCUAAUCUGCGAUAAGCGUCGGUAAGGUGAUAUGAACCGUUAUAACCGGCGAUUUCCGAAUGGGGAAACCCAGUGUGUUUCGACACACUAUCAUUAACUGAAUCCAUAGGUUAAUGAGGCGAACCGGGGGAACUGAAACAUCUAAGUACCCCGAGGAAAAGAAAUCAACCGAGAUUCCCCCAGUAGCGGCGAGCGAACGGGGAGCAGCCCAGAGCCUGAAUCAGUGUGUGUGUUAGUGGAAGCGUCUGGAAAGGCGCGCGAUACAGGGUGACAGCCCCGUACACAAAAAUGCACAUGCUGUGAGCUCGAUGAGUAGGGCGGGACACGUGGUAUCCUGUCUGAAUAUGGGGGGACCAUCCUCCAAGGCUAAAUACUCCUGACUGACCGAUAGUGAACCAGUACCGUGAGGGAAAGGCGAAAAGAACCCCGGCGAGGGGAGUGAAAAAGAACCUGAAACCGUGUACGUACAAGCAGUGGGAGCCUCUUUUAUGGGGUGACUGCGUACCUUUUGUAUAAUGGGUCAGCGACUUAUAUUCUGUAGCAAGGUUAACCGAAUAGGGGAGCCGAAGGGAAACCGAGUCUUAACUGGGCGUUAAGUUGCAGGGUAUAGACCCGAAACCCGGUGAUCUAGCCAUGGGCAGGUUGAAGGUUGGGUAACACUAACUGGAGGACCGAACCGACUAAUGUUGAAAAAUUAGCGGAUGACUUGUGGCUGGGGGUGAAAGGCCAAUCAAACCGGGAGAUAGCUGGUUCUCCCCGAAAGCUAUUUAGGUAGCGCCUCGUGAAUUCAUCUCCGGGGGUAGAGCACUGUUUCGGCAAGGGGGUCAUCCCGACUUACCAACCCGAUGCAAACUGCGAAUACCGGAGAAUGUUAUCACGGGAGACACACGGCGGGUGCUAACGUCCGUCGUGAAGAGGGAAACAACCCAGACCGCCAGCUAAGGUCCCAAAGUCAUGGUUAAGUGGGAAACGAUGUGGGAAGGCCCAGACAGCCAGGAUGUUGGCUUAGAAGCAGCCAUCAUUUAAAGAAAGCGUAAUAGCUCACUGGUCGAGUCGGCCUGCGCGGAAGAUGUAACGGGGCUAAACCAUGCACCGAAGCUGCGGCAGCGACACUAUGUGUUGUUGGGUAGGGGAGCGUUCUGUAAGCCUGUGAAGGUGUGCUGUGAGGCAUGCUGGAGGUAUCAGAAGUGCGAAUGCUGACAUAAGUAACGAUAAAGCGGGUGAAAAGCCCGCUCGCCGGAAGACCAAGGGUUCCUGUCCAACGUUAAUCGGGGCAGGGUGAGUCGACCCCUAAGGCGAGGCCGAAAGGCGUAGUCGAUGGGAAACAGGUUAAUAUUCCUGUACUUGGUGUUACUGCGAAGGGGGGACGGAGAAGGCUAUGUUGGCCGGGCGACGGUUGUCCCGGUUUAAGCGUGUAGGCUGGUUUUCCAGGCAAAUCCGGAAAAUCAAGGCUGAGGCGUGAUGACGAGGCACUACGGUGCUGAAGCAACAAAUGCCCUGCUUCCAGGAAAAGCCUCUAAGCAUCAGGUAACAUCAAAUCGUACCCCAAACCGACACAGGUGGUCAGGUAGAGAAUACCAAGGCGCUUGAGAGAACUCGGGUGAAGGAACUAGGCAAAAUGGUGCCGUAACUUCGGGAGAAGGCACGCUGAUAUGUAGGUGAAGUCCCUCGCGGAUGGAGCUGAAAUCAGUCGAAGAUACCAGCUGGCUGCAACUGUUUAUUAAAAACACAGCACUGUGCAAACACGAAAGUGGACGUAUACGGUGUGACGCCUGCCCGGUGCCGGAAGGUUAAUUGAUGGGGUCAGCGCAAGCGAAGCUCUUGAUCGAAGCCCCGGUAAACGGCGGCCGUAACUAUAACGGUCCUAAGGUAGCGAAAUUCCUUGUCGGGUAAGUUCCGACCUGCACGAAUGGCGUAAUGAUGGCCAGGCUGUCUCCACCCGAGACUCAGUGAAAUUGAACUCGCUGUGAAGAUGCAGUGUACCCGCGGCAAGACGGAAAGACCCCGUGAACCUUUACUAUAGCUUGACACUGAACAUUGAGCCUUGAUGUGUAGGAUAGGUGGGAGGCUUAGAAGUGUGGACGCCAGUCUGCAUGGAGCCGACCUUGAAAUACCACCCUUUAAUGUUUGAUGUUCUAACGUUGACCCGUAAUCCGGGUUGCGGACAGUGUCUGGUGGGUAGUUUGACUGGGGCGGUCUCCUCCUAAAGAGUAACGGAGGAGCACGAAGGUUGGCUAAUCCUGGUCGGACAUCAGGAGGUUAGUGCAAUGGCAUAAGCCAGCUUGACUGCGAGCGUGACGGCGCGAGCAGGUGCGAAAGCAGGUCAUAGUGAUCCGGUGGUUCUGAAUGGAAGGGCCAUCGCUCAACGGAUAAAAGGUACUCCGGGGAUAACAGGCUGAUACCGCCCAAGAGUUCAUAUCGACGGCGGUGUUUGGCACCUCGAUGUCGGCUCAUCACAUCCUGGGGCUGAAGUAGGUCCCAAGGGUAUGGCUGUUCGCCAUUUAAAGUGGUACGCGAGCUGGGUUUAGAACGUCGUGAGACAGUUCGGUCCCUAUCUGCCGUGGGCGCUGGAGAACUGAGGGGGGCUGCUCCUAGUACGAGAGGACCGGAGUGGACGCAUCACUGGUGUUCGGGUUGUCAUGCCAAUGGCACUGCCCGGUAGCUAAAUGCGGAAGAGAUAAGUGCUGAAAGCAUCUAAGCACGAAACUUGCCCCGAGAUGAGUUCUCCCUGACUCCUUGAGAGUCCUGAAGGAACGUUGAAGACGACGACGUUGAUAGGCCGGGUGUGUAAGCGCAGCGAUGCGUUGAGCUAACCGGUACUAAUGAACCGUGAGGCUUAACCUUACAACGCCGAAGCUGUU
RNAcentral lists this ribosomal RNA (2929 nucleotides) under Escherichia coli. RNAcentral's name for it is "23S ribosomal RNA". It matches the Rfam family "Bacterial large subunit ribosomal RNA". Lineage: Bacteria; Pseudomonadati; Pseudomonadota; Gammaproteobacteria; Enterobacterales; Enterobacteriaceae. The record is from RNAcentral.